Molecule: transfer RNA, 64 nt
Filed under: Savignium sp. BKKC-2014
Lineage: Eukaryota; Metazoa; Arthropoda; Thecostraca; Balanomorpha; Pyrgomatidae
Description: tRNA-Thr
Source: RNAcentral
GUCUAUAUAAUUUAAAUAAAAUAUUGGUCUUGUAAAUCAAAAAUAGAUAAAAAUCUUAUAGAUU